GGCUCAUUAGCUCAGUGGUAAGAGCGUCGUGUUAAUAACACGAAGGUCGUGGGUUCGAUUCCCUCAUGUGCCA
Hyposmocoma kahamanoa is the source of this 73-nucleotide non-coding RNA. The record is from the annotation of a RefSeq genome assembly. NCBI's taxonomy places the organism in Eukaryota, Metazoa, Arthropoda, Insecta, Lepidoptera, Cosmopterigidae.